ACCAGACUCCUACGGGAGGCAGCAGUGGGGGAUAUUGCACAAUGGGGGGAACCCUGAUGCAGCGACGCCGCGUGGGUGAAGAAGUAUUUCGGUAUGUAAAGCCCUAUCGGCAGGGAAGAAAUUGGACGGUACCUGACUAAGAAGCCCCGGCUAACUACGUGCCAGCAGCCGCGGUAAUACGUAGGGGGCAAGCGUUAUCCGGAUUCACUGGGUGUAAAGGGAGCGUAGACGGCCAUGCAAGCCUGGAGUGAAAGCCCGGGGCCCAACCCCGGGACUGCUCUGGGAACUGUGCGGCUGGAGUGCGGGAGGGGCAGGCGGAAUUCCUGGUGUAGCGGUGAAAUGCGUAGAUAUCAGGAGGAACACCGGCGGCGAAGGCGGCCUGCUGGACCGCGACUGACGUUGAGGCUCGAAAGCGUGGGGAGCAAACAGGAUUAGAUACCCGUGUA
RNAcentral lists this ribosomal RNA (446 nucleotides) under uncultured bacterium. RNAcentral describes it as "bacterial SSU rRNA". It matches the Rfam family "Bacterial small subunit ribosomal RNA", at positions 330 to 792 of the family's 1533-position model. The record is from RNAcentral.